CGGGAUCCAGGCGGGAGGGAAAGGGACGGAUCGCGUCUCCCUCCCUUCCUCCCGAGCGGGCCGUUUGACAUUGCCGCCCCUCCGGAGCGGGAGGAGCUACCGGGAGAGGGCGGGGCUCCCUGGAGAAGGGGAGGGGGCGGGGCCGAGCCCCUUCGGCAGCGCCCUUCUAACAGGAACUCCUGUGACGGCCUGUCACGGAGCGACAGGUAUUUAAAAGGGGCGGGUCAUCCCCAAGCAGCCAAUCGGAGCGGCACGGCCCCGCGCGCAGGGGAACGUUGCGUCCGUUGCCCGCCGUGGGAUAGUUGACUGGCAGUACUUUACUCCAAUCGGAGCGCGGCAUAUGAGUCACGUGGAGCCCCCCGGCGCCGUGCCAGGGCGCUGCGGUGCGUGUGGGCUGGCGGGUGGUGCCGCUCCCGGCGUCCUCUGGGGCGGCGCGGAGCGGAGUCCAGCAGAGCAUGCCGGGAGCUGUAGUCCGCCAUGGGGGGGCGCGGCGAGCCUGUGGCCGGUAACUCCGUUUGUUAGGAAUGUGUAUUUGUCCCGGUGGAAACUGCGUUAGCUAGCGCUGAGGGAUGUGGGAGAGUUUCGCCCUCAAGUAGUUGAGAGGAGUCGCCUGGGGCAAGAUCUGGGAGAGCCGUGCGUGUGCCACUUGCCUCAGCUUGGGAGCGCUUUCACGGAAUCCGUCAUCAGUUAGGUUGGAAGAGACCUCUGAGGUCAUCGAGUCCAACCUAUGGCCGAACACAACCAUGUCAACUCGACCAUGGCACUACGAGCCAGAUCCAGGCUUUCCUUAAACACCUCCAGGGAUGAUGACUCUACCACCUCGGUCAGGCGCAGUGACCAGCAAAUGGACACCUUAUUUUUUUUGGUUUUUUUUUUUUUUUUUCUUUUUGGUGGGGGGGGGAGGAGGGUGGGAUUAUUUGUUUUUCUUAAAUUGUCUUUUAGGAUUUUUCCCAUUGAAAUACUAUUUGUGAGCCCUGUGACUUCCUCAAAUAUUUUGCAACUUGUAGCUAUCUGGAGAAGAGUACUUGUAGGUAUUUUUCUGGACAACUGCUGCAUUAAUAACUGCAUUAGAGUUGCAAAAGAGUCACCUUGUUGUGGAAUAAACUGUUAAAAUGCACUAUGCAAUACAAAACAGGAGCUUAUGGGUGCUUUGGGAUGGUGUAAUUUGAAACCAUCCUUGCAUGUAGAUCUGAAGUGAGGACUCCAUCAUUGUCAAGAAGAGAACUCAGCAAUGACUACUUUGACUUUAUACAACUUGAAUUUCUUUGGAUUCUGCAGUGGCCUCAAAUGAUUACGGGCUUCAGAAGUGGAAAACUGAUGUGUUGAGGGUUCUUUAAAUUGCACAAUUGGUUCUACUUACAUCUCCUUCAUGUGACUUCCACUUGAAGCAGAGAUACACUUCAUGAUUUUUACUGCAGGCAGAUGUUACCCUUCUUCUGGAGAGAAACGUGACUGGUAUUGUUUUUGUGAUUUCCUUGUUUUCUUAAUUUACUCAUUGUGGUAGGUAACAAGGAUAAGACAGUGUUCAAAUGCUCUUUCAAAAGCAGUAGAGUAAUUCUGCCAGGCUUAGAAAAAAAUGCAGUGUCAUUUCACUGCAGUCCCACCACCCUACUGUGACCUGUAGCUUAAUGUGCACUGCCCUAACCUGGACUGUCAAGUACAAGUUGUAUGUGGUCUUUUCUAAUGUGAUAGGAGAAAAUUUUUAUGAAUACAGCCAGCACUGGUUCUCAGCUAGAGACUGGAAAAGCUGUGAAUAUUAAGUACAAAGACUGACCAUCUUUUACUUAAUUUUCUAUUUUAGUUGAAAAUGAGAUAUGCCUCUGAAGAUUACCCAGGUCCUCCAGAGUAUUAUAAGCCUUGUCUGUCAGCAUAUAUAUAAUACAAUUAUAAUACAAUAUACUUACACAAUACAAUUUUGUUUUGGAGUCCUACAGAGACUCCUAAAAAUUCUGAAAUGCAAGGUCAAACCCUGAGUGCUUUUAGGCGUACAAACCUGAUUCAUAUAAAUUUGUGAUCAUAAAAAGUUUUCUCUCUCUGUUACAUAUUAGAACAAUCUGAAGAAUGACAGAUCCCCAGUAGGAUGAAAAAAUGAAAUAUCAAUAUUUUAGUUCCUCUGCCUCCAUAUGGUAUUAUUAUUCUUUUACUCAUACACCCAAUAUUAAGGCACCUAGUUUUUUGAACAGGAAGCAGAAGCAAUCACCUUCCUAAGCACUAGUGCAAGGUAAGUCUGUGAGAAAUGCAUAUGCUGAAGGAUGAGAGAUAUAAUCAUGGCUUGUUCCACCCAUCCAUAGCUUGAGAAAUGAAUACCUCUCAACGCAGGUUUUUAAUUUGGUAAUUAGACAUUCUUGUGUUUGAUCUUAAGUUCAUUUCGGAAGUAGUACUCCUGUAAUUUGUAACCAUCACUUUUUAUUAACUCUUGGGAAGCCACACUUUUGUGUAUUGGGAGAUUAAGUGUAAUCAGAUUCCAUUUCACUAAAGCACUGCUGUGUAAACCACUUCACCUCCUGUUUAACUGAGAAACUGAACACGAAGAGACUUUAUGUUAACAAGGAAAGGAUGAAUAUUUAAAUUGGCUAGAAUGGUAUUAUGACUCUUCUGAGCCUCUUAGUACAUAGUUACUGGCAUUGCCUCUUUGUCUAUCCUUAUGUCAUCCUUAUUUUCAGGCAUCUGCAAGGAUUGGGAAAUGCUCUGGAGUUAUGAAUAAUACACUUGUAGCAGAGUUAGGAUGGAUAGUUAACGGGUGAGCUCUGUAAAAAAAUUGCUGUGCUUCCUCUGGAGAUCAGGAUGUCUUGGACAUUUGUGUUUUGGUUAUUUAUCAGGGUACAAUAAAGAGACAGAUAUGAGGAUUCUCUCUAGAAAUGGAUGAGGUGAAGAUACCUGCAGAUUUUGGGUAAUGGGGAAAAGUUGCUGUAAGGAUCCCCUGAAGAGUGAGAGAGGAUAUACUAUUGAAAAAAAUUCUUUCAAAUACAUCCUGAUUUAAAAAAGGGUCUCCCAUUACUAUGAUUAUUUAUCACAGCCAUUUUGCAUAGUGCUAAUUACAAUGACAGCUGCUGAUAAAGAAGGGGAGACGAGGCAAAUAUGGGAAAAUUUCAACUAGAUGAUGAAGAAAAAUGAUAGCACUCCAGUGCUAUAAAGGAGACAUAUUUCUAAAAGUAAAGAAGCUUUUAACAAUUUCAGAAUGGAAAGAGAAGGGAAUCCUAAAGAGAUGUUAGAGAUAAUCAAUUCAGACUUCUCACCAUUUGCCUGUCAUCCAUCUGUCCUGGUCCCCAGAGCGUGCUGUUUCUUAUUGAUGGAAUUUACAUGCACCUACACAAAUAUGCAGAUAAGGGAAGAUCAAAAGAUUUUGCCUCGCACGCUAACAGAAGGUACAAAGGUCUGCCAAAGGCUCAUUAAUCCAUGGCUGAUCCUGAGGUUUCCAACUUAUCCUCUGUUGCUUUGUCAUAUGAAGCCUUACACAGGGCACUUGGAGUGCAGAAGGAGUAUGCCCUGGAUGCCAGCCAAAUGAAAGAAGACAGCUGAGGGGAAUUCCAGCUGUUAUGGGGAAUGAUGCUGCAGAAGGACUGCUUAGUUUGGAGCAUUUCUAUUCCAGUGGUGCAAUGACAAGUAAAUCAACAGGUUUCAACAAUCUGUAUUUGUUAGUCUAGCCCAGCAGUGACAGAGCUGCAGUGGUAUGAGGACACUAAUGGAGCAGGUUCUCUGUUAUGACUAAGAGGAAAAGAGGCUGGGAAUUCUCCUCCUGUGAUGCAAGUGAAAGUGUUACAAUACAAGCUGCAGCAAAGGACAAGACUAGAGAUAAAUGCACUAUUUGAGAGAGAAGGCAAGGCAUUAUAAAAACAUCCUGAACCACCUAGUGAUGUAUUUGUUCAGCAGAGCUUUUAAAAAGUGCACUAAUGGCCCAUUUUAUCUAUCACCCCAAGUCAAUGAAAAACGCCCAUUGACUUAAAUAGGCAUUGGUCCAAAUGCUGAGCUUUUACAAAUAAUUAUACUCAGUGUACUGAAGUUACCAGUAUUUCUCUUCAGGCUGAAUGCUGCUCCCUCCACUGUGUGCCCUGACUUCAAUAAAUAAACAAACUUUCCCCUUUUCCUACUUAUAUGAAACCAUGGUGCUUCCACCACUACUCCCAAACCACCUGGUAGAUGUUGAAGUUUUUUAGAUUGAAGCAGUAGUCUGACCCAGAAAACACUGCUGGGUGGGAAAACCACACAUAAAAUAUGUCUUUGUUGCAUACAAUCUUACUGGAGCACAGUUGGUGGCUUUGGAAACCAUGGGACUUUAGAUUGUGUGUUUUAAUUUCUUGCUCUUAGGCUGUUGUGUUAUUUGUCCUCAAAACUAUCCUAAUCCACACUUUCCAAGGAAUUUCUUUUAAGUACAGUGGCAAAAAGGGUGACCAGUGUUCCAUCCAGUCCACUGUCUCCUUAGCAAUUUUUUUUUUCUCAACUGUUUGAACCAUUACUUGAUUUUUUUUUCCUUGUUUAGUUUCCUUUGCUACUCUUGCCCACUUUGAUCUGUAUUGAAACCCUCAGCAAUAUAUUUUAUCAUCAGAAACCUGUCCAAAAAUCUGUAAUAUCCAAUGAAGAAUAAAUAAGAUGGUGGCUGGGAACAAAACUGGAUUUCUUCCAAUCUGCUGCCCUACUACUGCUACUAGCACUAGCAAUAAUAGAAAUAGAAACAGAAAAAUAAUACUUCAAUUUCUUGGCAUCCUCUUGGCUCAGAUGAAGGCAUGAUGAUAUCAAGGAGCAUAAGCUGGUUCUGGAGUGGAAUGAAGCCACUGGAACGUAUCCUAGAGCUAAGCAUCCACUUUCUAAGUUAGUACAGAUGCCACCUUACCUUGUGUAGACAAUGAAAAAGUCACAGUGGAGACUCAGUAAGUCAAGGAACAGCUUACCAGGAUAAAAAAGGAACUGUCUAGGCUUUCAGUGUUGGGAGAUUUGGGUGCUAUCUGUGAUGAUCUCCUAGCAAAGUAUUGGUACCUGCACUGUACUGCCUUUUGGGAACCCGAGUAUUUUAUAAGUUUUUAUGUUUGUAUCAGCUCAGGACUGAUAACAACAGAAAUUGAACUACUUAUCCACCUUCUUUGUUUAUAAUUUAUUUCUUUUUUUAGGAAUAUAAUCCUUCUCUCAUGAACGAUCCAGAGAUGCAAACUAAUAAGUGAAUGAAUUAUAACGUUUGUAGAAUAUUGUAGGUUGUAAGGGAUGUCUGGAGUUUACCUAAUCCAACACAAAAGAUAUCUGGUUCAGAGUUGCUUUUUCUCUGUCUUGGUAAAAAGCAGAGCCUCAUGGGUCACUAAGAAUGUAUUUUUGGAUUCUCUGUAUGCCUACAUUUCAAACUCAGUAGGAAAAGGUUUAUAAUUUAGAAAAACUAGUUUAGAGCCUCCAUAAAAAAAUCAAAAUAUUAUUGACUGGGCAAAAUAUUGGGGAAAGUUUCACAGUGCUUGCAAGGAGGAAAAUAAUAUGUAAAUAUCUUUUUUGCUGUUAUUUUCAAGAUGGAAAACUUGAUGCAGAAGGGGUUAUUUAUACUGACAGACUGGUACUUAAACAAAUAAGCUGAUUAGAGAUCCACAGCUUGGAGAUGAGUUACUGCAAAUAAGCAAAGAACGAAAAAGGAUCUAUGUGAAUUAUAUAAAUACAGAAAAACCUUUGUGAAGUGUUCUACAAAGGUAUGUGAUAAAAGAAACUAGCACAGUGUGUUCAGAGGUGAACCUGACAACAAAUAGACUAAAAACAUUUUUUUUAAAUUUUCUUUUACCAGUUUGAACCCAAGGAACUCAAAGGUCUUUGUACUCAAAUUAAAGAUUAAUAAACCUUGGCCAUCUCUCAAGAGUUGAUGUGGAAUGUGACAGUCAUUUUCUGGCAAUCUCACACAGGAUCAUGAGAUGAGGCUGGGUUCCUGGGAGCAGGCACCAUCUCUUAACCUAUUUUAGAAGAGCUUGCUUUGAUGUUCUUCUCUAUGCUGUAUUGUGUGAAAUUAAAGUGAAACACUAGCAUUACUUUACAAAAGAAGAAGGUAAUACAUCAUAUCUGAAGAUAAAGAAAGCUGGCAUUAACAGAGUAAUUAUGAACAGUGGGGCUGCUAUUUUGCCUGUGCUUCAGAAUGGACCCACUACAGAGAAAUAAAUUGAGAAUAAAGCACUGUGUCUCAUCUCAAAAUGAUAUGAAAAAGACUUCUGAAGUUGUCUUAAGACUGUUUCUGUGGGGCUGCUGGCACAAAGUUCCCAGGAAAAGCACAUGCCUGACAGAGCUGCUGUAACCCAAAGAAACCUAGAUGGUGGCUGAUGAGGAACGACACCUGAUAAAUAACAAAAGCUUGUUUUAAGUUUAGUUCCUGUGGAAUGAAGCUUCAAAAUCAAAUGUAAGAAAGAAAGAUCAGAGUGUAGGAUGAGUGGAGAACAGAAGCAUACACCGCCUCUGAAAGAGGGGAGAAAAGGGCAUCUUGAACCAUUUGUGAAAAGAAAAGGAAGAAAUUCUAAAAGACGUGGGCUGGAGAGUGUCAAGACUAAAGACACAAGAUGGUUAUGGAGAUUCUCUGUUACCUAUCACUUGCACCUGAGUACAGCAAUGUGUGUAUGCUGCCUGGAUGUAGCCUGCUGUAGCCUGUGAGCAUUGUUUUCCUGUUUCCUGGCUGCUAAUGGUGGUCAUCCAGGGCAGGAGAAGUGAAAAGUUGCAUGGAGUUAUUGGGCAACCAAGCCAGCCUGGCUCUUGUCACUGCUGCACUUGCACAUCUUGCAUGGCUCAUCCUCCAUUGAUUCAGGUGGUUCCUGCUAAUUCCCCUCCCCAGUGGGAUUGGGGAGAGAAUUGGAAGAGUAAGAGUGUGAAAACUCAUGGGUUGAGAUAAAGGCAGUUUAAUAGGUAAAGAAGAACUGCACACACAAGCAAAGCAAAGCAAGGAAUUAAUUUACUGCUUCCUGUCACCCCCAGGAUAACAGGGCUCCAUCACCUCUCAUGGUUAUCUGGGAAGACAAAUACCAAUGCUUUGGAUCUUACCCCUUCCUCCUUAUUCCCCCUGACUUUUUUGUAUGCUAAACAUGAUUGUAUACAGCAUGGAAUAUCCCUUUGGUCUGCUGGCUGUACCACUAGCUGUCCCAGCUGUGUCCCCUCCCAGUUCCUUGUGCACCCCUAGCCCACUCUGUGGGCAUGGUGUGAGAAGCAGAAAAAGUCAGUGUGAGCACAUCUGAGCAGUAGCAAAAACACCCCUGUUUUAUUAACAUCAUUUUCAGGACAGAUCCAAACCCCAGCCCCACACUAUCUAAUGUGAAGAAAAUUAACUUUACUGCAGCCCACUGCUGUAACAGACAGUCAGGUAAUAAUAUGAUUAAGACAUAAGAUUUUGUUUCUCUAUUAAUCAUGGAGUCUGGCUUUUAUGGUCAAUAUAUUUUGUUUACAGGGUGGGUGAGGUUCUUAUUUUGUUGCUUUAAUGUCAGGCUAGCAGAAAAUGUGUCUUUUUCUAAGUCAAUAAAGAAACCCCAGCAACAGCA
Parus major (Great Tit) is the source of this 7472-nucleotide long non-coding RNA. RefSeq lists it as uncharacterized. The transcript is spliced from 16 exons. The record is from RefSeq and is a predicted model, not a curated record. Lineage: Eukaryota; Metazoa; Chordata; Aves; Passeriformes; Paridae.